Molecule: long non-coding RNA, 1665 nt
Organism: Pan paniscus (pygmy chimpanzee)
Lineage: Eukaryota; Metazoa; Chordata; Mammalia; Primates; Hominidae
Source: Ensembl
UAAAGUGCAAGAGUUUGAUAUCUAACUGGAUGUCUCAAUUAACAGAAGAGUCACGUCUAGGAAGGAUGUUUGAAAUGUUACAUUAGGAGGCUGACAGCUGUUCCUUCCUGACGUUUGGAGGUGAGAAUUAUUGACACAACCCCAGUAUCAUGGAGCACUCCUCUCUGCAAGUGUAAACUGCUGUGUGUUGUUUGAAGAACACUGCACGUGCUAUCUUCCUCAGUACUAUUCUGUUUUUCUCAUCUCUGGGAUUCAAAGAAAUUGUGUAUACAGCAAAGAAACCUCAACUGGGAUGAAAUGGAGCUGGAUGACAGAGGACCUAGUGUUUGGGUUUCUUGGAAGAGCCUUAACUGGGACGUUGGUCAGGAAAUGUUACCAAUGCUAUUUGUCAUGCUAAAAGGAGAUGUGACCAAAUAGAAAGGACUGUGGGGACCACGAAAGGAGAGUAAAUAGGCUCUGGCUGGUUCUGAAUUCUGGGAUCUCAUUAACAGUCAUCAGGAGCAGACAAGCUGGUCGUGUUCUGGGGCAUUCCAAUUUGUGCCACAGAAAGGCUCUCAGAGAAAAGUGCCACUUAAGCCUUCCUGUCAUGCCUGGGAGUGUCAGAAAGUUGUUUGGUAUGACUCAAAGCCUGAUUAUAGUUUGGCUUGUAUAACCACCAUCUGCCUGCAUGAUUUAUCUCAGCCUUUUUAACAGUAUGGUUUUAGUUAUAGCAUUGGGAGUUUUUAGGUGUGAUAAAUGGUAAGAGUAAAUUACCCCUUUAGAUGAAGAAGCAUAUGUUAUGAAGAUUAGCAUUAUCAAGCAGUUUAUAAUGUAUUUUGUUCUUAAGGGAAAAUUUUAUGGAAAUUUGAAUCAUCAAUUACAAUGAAUCUGAAGUACCACCAAGAGUUGCUUCACUCCCCCAUCUUUCUAAAUUAAUUAGUGCUGUCCUCAUUUUCAAUAGAACUGAGUGGCUGCCUUUUGUUCGGCUUGCCUAACAAUGCAAUUGCAGACCAAACUAGUGCCUGGAAGAAUUCACAUAGCUGCUUGAAAAUUCAGUAACGUUGCAGGACGUUGGACAGAAAACCCAAGAUGUCUGGGACUAUCAGGAAAGUUGUCAAAAAAAUGUAACAGAAGAUUAUGGCCUAAUCUGCAGCCUGUUUUUCUUAGCGUGGUGCCUCUUCAACAUCUCCUAAUCUAUUCCUCUUUUGCUUUCACUUAUAUCCCUCCAACUGCCUCAGAGAAACACACUUAUAUAUACAUAAAUGUGCUUUAAUAUUCAUACAUCUAACAUAUUUAUCCCUUCUUCAAUCUUCCUCCUUUAUGAAAAAAAUAGAACAAGCUUUAGGAAUCAGAUGACUAUAAUGUUGUUUUUCGAAUGAUUUUAAACUUAUUACUUGACAAUUAUGCAUUCAUUAGUAGUUCAGAAAACUAGCAAUUUCACAUGUAAGAAGUUAAUUUCUUAGGUUAACAAAGAUUAUACAAGGCACAGGGAAUGCAAAGAAGCUAAAUAAACACUUGUUGUUUCUUUAUUGUUGUUGUUGGUUAUAAUUCCCUCUAAGCUGUAAGCCCUAUGAAGAUGGAAAUUGUGUCUGAUUUUUCCACCAUUAUAUUGUCAACACUUAAAACAAUGUCCAGUGUAUAGAAAGUGCUCAAUAAACAUGUGCAAAGUGAAUGAUCUCAUUGAAC